AUGUAUGACCAUACUACCAUGAACACACCUGAUCUCAUCUGAUCUCGGAAGCUAAGCAGGGUUGGGCCUGGUUAGUACUUGGGUGGGAGAACAAUUUUAAGUCUCCUGAUCUAUGAACAUG
RNAcentral lists this ribosomal RNA (121 nucleotides) under Castor canadensis (American beaver). Lineage: Eukaryota; Metazoa; Chordata; Mammalia; Rodentia; Castoridae. The record is from RNAcentral.